Molecule: transfer RNA, 82 nt
Filed under: Toxoplasma gondii COUG
Lineage: Eukaryota; Apicomplexa; Conoidasida; Eucoccidiorida; Sarcocystidae
Description: tRNA-Ser
Rfam family: tRNA
About the family: Transfer RNA (tRNA) molecules are approximately 80 nucleotides in length.
Source: RNAcentral
GGCGGUUUGUCCGAGUGGUUAAGGAGUUGGACUUGAAAUCCAAUGGGCUUUGCCCGCGCAGGUUCGAACCCUGCAGCCGUCG